UGGGGAAUCUUAGACAAUGGGCGCAAGCCUGAUCUAGCCAUGCCGCGUGAGUGAUGAAGGCCCUAGGGUCGUAAAGCUCUUUCGCCAGGGAUGAUAAUGACAGUACCUGGUAAAGAAACCCCGGCUAACUCCGUGCCAGCAGCCGCGGUAAUACGGAGGGGGUUAGCGUUGUUCGGAAUUACUGGGCGUAAAGCGUACGUAGGCGGAUUAGAAAGUUGGGGGUGAAAUCCCGGGGCUCAACCCCGGAACUGCCUCCAAAACUACUAGUCUAGAGUUCGAGAGAGGUGAGUGGAACUCCGAGUGUAGAGGUGAAAUUCGUAGAUAUUCGGAAGAACACCAGUGGCGAAGGCGGCUCACUGGCUCGAUACUGACGCUGAGGUACGAAAGUGUGGGGAGCAAACAGGAUUAGAUACCCCCGUAGUCC
Molecule: ribosomal RNA, 424 nt
Filed under: uncultured prokaryote
Description: bacterial SSU rRNA
Rfam family: Bacterial small subunit ribosomal RNA
Source: RNAcentral